CCAUUUUGGAAAGCCCAAAGAGAGCUCUCCGAUGAAUGAGGAAGGAAAACUGAAUUCUUCUAUUGUUUUUUUUUCCAACUCCAAAUUUUGACGUUAAUGUACUUUUUUGGGCCUUUUCGUGAUCUUUGCUAUAUUGCG
RNAcentral lists this small RNA (138 nucleotides) under Arabidopsis thaliana (thale cress). RNAcentral describes it as "ATSL162430". The record is from RNAcentral. Lineage: Eukaryota; Viridiplantae; Streptophyta; Magnoliopsida; Brassicales; Brassicaceae.